GCAGGAUGGACGCGUUGGCUGUCAUGAUGUAGGACCUCCUGACCUAGAACCAUGCCCGGCGCAGGGAGAACAACGAGCUUACGGACCGGGUGCGGGGGCUGCUGUGCGAGAAAGCCUACCUGCUGGCCCGGGAGCGUUCGCCGGCCCACCUGGUGGCUUUCCCUGGACGUUUAACGGCGACUCCGCCCGGCCUCCCGACUUUUUGAUGCAGGCGUUCUCUUACAUGACUUUCUUCGAGGCUAGAUUCUCGAAAGACAUCCUGAAGGUGGCUUUCUUAAUUAGCUGCCUCACCGGCUGGCGGAGCAGUUCGUAGUCGCCUACAUCGAGAGGGAGAGCCCCGUCCUGGCUCAGUACUGGGGCUUCGUGGACGCGCUGUAGCGGGUCUUCGCCGUCGUGGGUAGGAAACAGUCGGGCCGGAUCCCCGGUGUCUGGGGAGCGGCUGCCGGCCGGGCCCGCGCGAGCCGCUUCACUCCUACAAGCCCGGCUCACUAGUUCCAAGCUGCUGGACUUUGACCCUCGCUGGGAAGCUUGAUCGCCGCCUGUUCUCGCCAAUCUCUAUGCCUUUGCACUGCCCAGCAACCCGGUCACUGCCCAGGACCUGUUAAAAGUUGAAUGGACCUCCCAGAAUCACGCCGCUGCCACCGCCGUUUCUAGAGACGGCUUUUGGCCACCUUUGAGAAUCAGGGUCAAACUUGGAAGGGCCUGCAUUUGUCACACUUCCUCGGACACUAAUUUGGAUAGUUCAGGCCCAGAGACGGCUUCCCGGAACCUUCUGGAUUUCAGCUUUGGCAAGCUUCCUCUGUUUCUGAGACACCUCCAUCACCUGGGUUAC
Molecule: long non-coding RNA, 832 nt
Filed under: Homo sapiens (human)
Lineage: Eukaryota; Metazoa; Chordata; Mammalia; Primates; Hominidae
Description: non-protein coding LINC00667:14
Source: RNAcentral